GUGUCCAUAACAAUUUGUUAAAAUUUAAUGAAAAAAAUAAAAUAAAUUUGACUAACCUAGUAGUUAUUUCAUAUUAUUAUUUUUCGAUGUGUGUAAACAAAUACCUCUGCGUACCUUUGCGCAUGCGCGAUGCGGGAAAUUGGAAACAUCAUAACAAAAAUGGCGAACACCCGAUCUAAGUGGAAGGGUCCUGAAUCAGUUUUAACCGAGAGCAAGAAGAAACGAAUAAUCGAGAACGUGAUUUUAACUUCACAAAGACGAACACGUAUCUUAGAGACAGAGCAAGCAGAUGGCAUCAGUUAAAAAAGACCGAAGGGAUUAAAACAGACCCUCCUUUGGCCAAGCUAAUGCCUUGAACAGUUUUGAAAGCAAGCCUGAGAUCUAGAGCGUACGUAGAUCUGGUCAUAAAGAAACUGAAGCCAAGCAAUGAAGAUGACCACAGGCGACAUGGAGUACAUGCAGCCACUACGGACGACACUAUUACUAGUCGCACUUAGAUAUCACAGGAUUUAUAACACAAAAGUUCUUGGAGGACAAAAAGUGCCGUACAAGGUGGAAAGGACAUACCAACACAUCCAGGGACUCAUCAAUCUGAUAGUGGCCAACAGAAUAACAGAUAGAACUGUAAUAUCUAGCCAAAACCCUUGCAUCAAAUAGAUCCCAGAAGAUUCAAACUCCUAGCCCAUGCUCCUCCACCAUCUACUGCCCAAAUGGUAGAGGAGAAGAAAUCCCAAUUAAGAUGAAUGGGAAUAAUUGACAUUUUGAGACUAAUCACGUUCCAGAGACUAUUACUUUUGAAUAUCUGUCCUUACGUUUAGUAGCUGACCUGGUCCGAAGGACCAAGGUGAGUAUGCCAUACUGAGGCGUCCGGCAUUCGUCUGUCAACAUUGUGAACACAAUAUUUGAAUAACUUGAGUAAAUGUCAGAAUAUACCAAAUUUAAUAAAACUUUAUAAGCAGCCAUAUAUCGACAAGAUCUCAGACAACUUCAAAAAUAGAAAUUAUUGGACAGUAGUUUUUGACAGUAGUUUGCAGAGUUAUUGCCCUUUGUAAUGGUCUUAUUAUUAACAUUUUUUUAGUUCACUGGUCAGAAUGGAAACUCUUUUAGAAAUUCUACUAGUCCUGAACAAUUAAAUGGAUUUGAUGAAAUUUGGUCAGGAGAAUUAUGUGGCAAUGUUAUAUGUUGCAUAAAUGAAGCGUCACCAUCAUCUGAGUGGCACCUUUCGGGGCAAAAUAAGAGAAUUACCUGGUAUAGCAAAAAAAAAAGGAUUUAACUCAUUUUUUUUUUCAAGAAUUACAUCUAGUCCACUUGUAGUUUGAACCAUUGUUGGGAGAGGUAGUUCAAAAGUAGAAAAAUGUUUGAAAUGUAACUUAAAUUUGAGUAGUAUUUAGUUUAUUGGUAUAAUGUUACUAUAAUAGCUUAGCUGUUAUCCAUUCCAUUAAUGUCAUAUGAUAAUCAGUGCAGCCUUAAUUUCAAAAUUUAUAUAAUCUCAAGAGACAAACAACAUUGUCUGGUCUGAAAUUUAAAUGCUUAGUCAAAAAUGAUUAUUCAUAGCUGUACAUGUGUGCACUAUUGAAAUAUUCAUGUUAACACUCACAAGUAAUUUAUAAACUCUCAAAAUUCAUUGAUGUCAACACCCACUAGUGCUCAAUGGUCAUGGAUGACAACACUCACUAGUAGUAGUACUCAAUAGUCAUUUAUGUCAACACUUACUAAUACUCAAUAGUCAUGGAUGACAACACUCACUAGUACUCAUUAGAAACGUAUGUCAACACUCCAUAAUACUCCAGUCAUGUAUGUCAACACUCCAUAAUACUCAAUAGUCAUUGAUGUCAACACUCAAUUAUCACUGAUGCCAACAAUUGUCAUUGAUGUUAAGUCACUAGUCAUGGCAGUCAACUUUCUCUAGUCAUUGAUGCCAAUGCUUACAUCUGAGCAAGACAAUAAAUACAAUGUGGUAAAUUCUUUAUUUGCAUGUUUGACUUUUCUCAGUGUUUUCUAUAUCAAAACUAUUUGUGAGACAAAUUGUACUGUGCAUUUACUGUUUAGUGUAUUAUCAACAUCAUAAGUCACUGUUCUGUUGAUAUUCUGAUAAAUUAGGGUUGGAUCUUUAGGUCAACUGAGAUGAAGUAUGAAGUGACCUAUUCUAACUGACUUUUGUCCGUCGUCUUUCCUUGCUUGUCUUUAAACAAUUUGUCAGUAAGCUUUCAUGGUCAAAAGGUCAACCAAAACUGUGGAUUACAUAGUCCCAACCUCCAGGGACCUGAGGGGCAGGGUCAAAAAGGGUCAAAUUGACUAAAAUUUAAAAGAUCUUCUCAGCUCGCAGAUAUGGUAGAAUCAUAUACUGGUGUCUUUAACAAAAAUUGUGAAUUUCAUGACCCUGAUGGGGGACUAAAUUUAUAUAGGGAAAUCACAAUUUUGAUCAGCAUUUGUUUGAUUUCUAUUGAAAUUCAUUCUAACUUCAUUAACAUUAUCAGCAUGGGAUGACAGCUUGAUCGCAUGCACAUGUUGGCCCUGACUGACCUUCUGGGCGAGGCUAAAAAGGGUCAAUUAAAUUGAAUAUUUCAAAACUCAGGUGACCAUUAAGGCCAAUUGGCCUCUUGUUUUACAUAAGCCAGUAUCAGUGAAAACUGCUGCAUAUGAAAUAUGGUACAUAAAACAAAAGGUUUCCAUGAAUUCAAUGAUGUAAUGUAAUUUAUUUUGAUUUUAUAUCAAACCUUUUCACUGCACAGGUGUCAAAACAACUUCCUUGAAAUAAGAUAAUUCAGCUUAUGUGUAUGGGCAAACAGACAAAGUGAUUACCAAUAAAAUGCUUAAAUUUU
Pecten maximus is the source of this 2822-nucleotide long non-coding RNA. RefSeq lists it as uncharacterized. The record is from RefSeq and is a predicted model, not a curated record. The transcript has 3 exons. Lineage: Eukaryota; Metazoa; Mollusca; Bivalvia; Pectinida; Pectinidae.